GCGGGUGUAGCUCAGUGGUAGAGCGCCUGCUUGCCAAGCAGGAGGUCGCGGGUUCAAAUCCCGUCGCCCGCUCCA
This 75-nucleotide transfer RNA is filed under the name Thermosipho melanesiensis. Its description in RNAcentral is "tRNA-Gly". It matches the Rfam family "tRNA". Rfam says of the family: Transfer RNA (tRNA) molecules are approximately 80 nucleotides in length. Their secondary structure includes four short double-helical elements and three loops (D, anti-codon, and T loops). Further hydrogen bonds mediate the characteristic L-shaped molecular structure. tRNAs have two regions of fundamental functional importance: the anti-codon, which is responsible for specific mRNA codon recognition, and the 3' end, to which the tRNAs corresponding amino acid is attached (by aminoacyl-tRNA synthetases). tRNAs cope with the degeneracy of the genetic code in two manners: having more than one tRNA (with a specific anti-codon) for a particular amino acid; and 'wobble' base-pairing, i.e. permitting non-standard base-pairing at the 3rd anti-codon position. Lineage: Bacteria; Thermotogati; Thermotogota; Thermotogae; Thermotogales; Fervidobacteriaceae. The record is from RNAcentral. RNAcentral also lists the same sequence under 12 other names.